GCCAGUGUGGUAUAGUGUUUUGAAUGUUGGACUACAACUCUGGAGGCCAGGGUUCAAUUCUCAGCUUGGCCA
RNAcentral lists this transfer RNA (72 nucleotides) under Phrynosoma platyrhinos (Desert horned lizard). RNAcentral's name for it is "tRNA-OTHER". Lineage: Eukaryota; Metazoa; Chordata; Lepidosauria; Squamata; Phrynosomatidae. The record is from RNAcentral.